GAGCCCAGAACACGCACCCAGGCUGCAGGAAGUCAUUUAUCCUUACAAGAUUUUCAGCGUCUAAACCCAAGAUGUCUAGGAACAUGCGGGAUAGAUGACCGCGGCUUCAGCGCACGCCACUGCGUAGCAGCAACCCAUCCCCUAGCAACUUUUGUUUCCAUGGCAAAAGCUGUCCUGUUUACGUUGAGCUUUACUAUCCCCCACUGAUCCACAGAGAUGUAACCGGACUGGCGAGCAGGCAGGAGGUGGUUAUGUACAUUCAGAUGGCCUUGGGAAAAACAGAUGGUCAGGUGUCUGGAGAAGGAGAAAACUAGGUCCACGCCCAAAGCAAGUGAGAAGUCCUGAGUGGUCUGAAUACUUCUACUGGUAAAGUCUGGGCAGGGUUAGAUUUAUGGCGCUGGGCUCUGUGUAAUUGUGACCCUGGUUUAUUAUCCAGGUAAUCAUGCACGUGAUGAAAUUCCCUGUUAUAAGGCAGUGCGGGGUAACUCCCUUGCUUUUUCCAAAUGAAUUAUCAGCCAAG
This 520-nucleotide long non-coding RNA is filed under the name Anser brachyrhynchus (Pink-footed goose). RNAcentral's name for it is "lncRNA (ENSABRG00000013301.1)". The record is from RNAcentral. Lineage: Eukaryota; Metazoa; Chordata; Aves; Anseriformes; Anatidae.